CCUACGGGUGGCAGCAGUGGGGAAUAUUGCACAAUGGGGGAAACCCUGAUGCAGCGACGCCGCGUGAGUGAAGAAGUAUUUCGGUACGUAAAGCUCUAUCAGCAGGGAAGAAAAAAAGUCCUUUGGACUUUGGACGGUACCUGACUCAGAAGCCCCGGCUAACUACGUGCCAGCAGCCGCGGUAAUACGUAGGGGGCAAGAGUUAUCCGGAGUUACGGGGUGUGAAGGGAGAGUAGACGGAAGCGCAAGUCUGGAGUGAAGGAAGUCAGCGGUGAAAUGCCCCCGCUCAACGGGGUGAAGUGCCAUUGAUACUGCCUUGCUGGAAUGCGGAUGCGGUGGGAGGAAUGUGUGGUGUAGCGGUGAAAUGCAUAGAUAUCACGAAGAACACCGAUUGCGAAGGCAGCAUACCGGCGCCCGACUGACGCUGAGGCACGAAAGCGUGGGGAGCGAACAGGAUUAGAUACCCCUGUAGUC
This 474-nucleotide ribosomal RNA is filed under the name uncultured bacterium. RNAcentral describes it as "partial 16S ribosomal RNA". It matches the Rfam family "Bacterial small subunit ribosomal RNA", at positions 338 to 795 of the family's 1533-position model. The record is from RNAcentral.